GGGGUGGUUUGGGAGCAGCAGGGCUUUGUGAUAACCCCAAAGACCCCUCCUCUUUCCACCCCCUGCUGCCUCCUCCCUUCCCGCGGGUGUUCCGCAUUAUGGAGCAAGCCAAGAGGAAGUCCACCAGACGGCUCCGGAGGAUGUCUUCCUGAGCCUCACCUGCCCGAGGCCCCCCACCCGAAGGGAAAGCAGACAAGGACAAGCAAAACCAGCAGGCUCCCGGCCCCCCUCUCCUCCUUCGGCUCCAUUUCCCUCCCAGCACUCCUCCCAGCCUCCCACCCCACCCCGCUCUGGGCCUCCCUCCCAGCAUCCCUCACGGCUCCCCUCAAAGUCUGCCUUGCUGUAAGAAAGAGCUGUGGUGCCAGGUUAGCACAGGUGCGCACAGCCUGCCCUGGGCUGCAGGGGGUACGGGGCUGGAGGGGUGGGUGUGGCUCUCUGCAGAUUGAGGCCACUCACCUUCGAGACCUGCCGGAGAACCCCCGUGUGUUUCUGUGGAGAAGGGUCCCCUGGAGUCCCGCCUGGGUGGCCCGUGGUCUCAUUGAGCCCUGGCCAUGGAAGCAGCCUCAGAGGAACACCUGCCAUGUCCUGUCAAGGAGAAGCCCUGUGGGUGACCGAAGCGGUGAUGAAGCUGUACUUAUGAAGGUUCCAGGAAGGCCACAACGACCGUCCCUGCCCCCACGCCCUGCCUCCGCUCACAGCAGCGCAGCAUCACGGUGUGGUCGUGUCCCUGGCUGCCACACCCACUCCAUCUGUUUUCCGUGUGGCUGCUCUGAGGCAUCUGCCAGCGUCCUCUGCCCCCCGCUCCCCACCCACUGAGCCUGGUUCUCCCUGUCCCCCGGGACCCUGGUCUGCCUCUUCCAAAGGCUCCUCUUCCUUCUCCCUGCCUGGUGGGUCCCUCAGCCCCAAGCCCGCCUCUCUCCCUCACUCUCCCCUCUGCACCUGCCACCCUUGGGUUUCUCUCUCAUUCACCCCCCCCCGGCUUUCAACUGGCAUCUUAUUCCAGCCAGGAACUGCCCUGAGCUCCCAACAAUCUAGACUUUUCCAAUGAGUUCUCUCACCCUCCUGAAGCCCAAAGGGAAAUGGGAUCUUCUCCCACCCUCUGGACACAGCUCGUCAGCCCACCAGCUCUGGGGGCUCUUACUGCCAGGGUGGUAGGCAAGGGAAGGCAUGGCUGCAGCAUUGUCAAGAGAAGAACACCUAUUUCCUGAAAAAUAGAAAACUUUGGGAGUUCCCGUCAUGCUUUAGCAGAAACAAAUCUCACUAGUAUCCAUGAGGAUGCAGGUUCGAUCCGUGGCCUGGCUCAGUGGGUUAAGAAUCCUGCAAUGCUGUGGCUGUGGUGUAGGCGGCAGACACAGCUCGGAUCCCUGCAUUGCUGUGGCUGUGGUGUAGGCCGGUGACUACAGCUCCGAUUGGAGCUCCAAUUCGACGCCUAGCCUGGGAACCUCCAUAGGAUGGGUGUGGCCCUAAAAAAAAAAAGAAAACUUUGUAAAUAAAUACAAGUGAUAAAGACAUGUAGGCCAGGGAGUUCCCGUCGUGGUGCAGUGGUUAACGAAUCUGACCAGGAACCAUGAGGUUGCGGGUUCGAUCCCUGCGCUUUCUCAGUGGGUUAACGAUCCGGCGUUGCUGUGAGCUGUGGUGUAGGUUGCAGACGCGGCUCGGAUCCCGCGUUGCUGUGGCUCUGGCGUAGGCUGGUGGCUACAGCUCCGAUUGGACCCGUAGCCUGGGAACCUCCACAUACCGCGGGAGCAGCCCAAGUAAAAUGGC
RNAcentral lists this long non-coding RNA (1764 nucleotides) under Sus scrofa (pig). RNAcentral describes it as "lncRNA (ENSSSCG00050043543.1, ENSSSCG00060077897.1)". The record is from RNAcentral. Lineage: Eukaryota; Metazoa; Chordata; Mammalia; Artiodactyla; Suidae.